This 27-nucleotide non-coding RNA is filed under the name Mus musculus (house mouse). Lineage: Eukaryota; Metazoa; Chordata; Mammalia; Rodentia; Muridae. The record is from RNAcentral.
UGGUUAUCCUCUGUGAACAGGGCACCC